UGGUUGAAUGAAGAAGAGCAUUUACUUUUUCUUUCCUUUGUGAUCUGGAACGCUCUUAGAACUUGGCUGGGGCACAUUUCAGUUGGUUUGGGUUUAGAAAUUGUGAAAAGGUGAUUUGGAAUAGGGAAGAAGCACGGUUAUUUAAUUUUAUUUUCUGGAUUUGCUAGAGUUACAGUUUCCACUUUUAAAGUAGGGGCAUCUUUAAUUUUAGUAAGCAUAUGGCAUAUUGGAAAGGUUGUGCACACGGGAUGGCUUCUUUCAUUUCGAUGCACGAGUUUUAUUACUUGGAGGCAAGUGUUUUAGUUUCCAAUUGAAAAGUGCUUUUUAAUUGCUUGGGGGCCGUUAACUUUCAGAUUUUCUCUGGGUGUUUUUACUGGAACAUGAUUUCUUGGGUUUUGGAGAAUGUUAUUUAACUUUUCUUGAGAAGAGCCACAUGUCCUUGGUUGUGGGUCCAGCUUUAGUUUCUUAAGCUUUUAUUGCAUUUGAAGAUUGCAUAGGAGAAUUUCUGGAUGAGGUGAUGUUACGGCUGGAUAAGGGAAACCUUUCCCAAUUUCAUUUUUCUUUGAAG
Molecule: long non-coding RNA, 568 nt
Filed under: Vigna radiata
Lineage: Eukaryota; Viridiplantae; Streptophyta; Magnoliopsida; Fabales; Fabaceae
Description: long non-coding RNA (VRAD_LNC001566)
Source: RNAcentral